Molecule: long non-coding RNA, 1888 nt
Organism: Mobula hypostoma (lesser devil ray)
Lineage: Eukaryota; Metazoa; Chordata; Chondrichthyes; Myliobatiformes; Myliobatidae
Exons: 3
Source: RefSeq, a predicted model, not a curated record
UCAAGUAAGAGGACAGGCUAGGCUUUGCUUCAUGGGUACUGGGUAUUGCAAGGGUUAAGUUAUCCAAGCAGGAAUCCAGAGACCCAAAGUCAAAUUCCACAACUGCAGCUGUGGAAUUGAAACUUGAUUAGUACUGUACGACUUGGAACAAAAACAACUGGGGGACAUCUCCCUCUGCCUUGCCAGGGAGAGAGGGAACCUUUGGAUUGCUGAAUGCCGGAUGAAUUGCGAUAGUCUUUGGGUAAACUGCAAGAUUUCAGGAUUCACAAUAUUUUAAUUUUCAAUAUUAAAGCAAGAUUAUCGCAAGUAAACAGGAAGAAAAUACCUCGUCUAUAAAACUUUAGCAGUUACCUUGUAAAGUACAGGAACCAUCAUAGAAGGAAUGCAAUUAAAAUGGCUGAGCCGUUGUCAACUAAUACUCAUACUACUGGCUGAAGGUACUAAAGCCAUACUAGUACCACAACUAUGCCGUGCGUUUGCAAAUCAUCUAGACCUUGGGAUUAAAGUUGUGUACCCAAUGAUGGGUAGUACUGCAAACAGCAUAGAUGAGGGCUUCUAUCAUGAAGAGAUUCUAACAGAUUAAAUCAAUGGUCAAAACAGUGAUACAGCACACUACUAGGCUUUUCCGACCCAAUAAGCCCUUGCCACCCAAUCACAGCCACGUGACCAAUAAACCUAUUGACAAAUGUCUUUGGAAUGUGGAAGGAAGGCGGAGCACCCGGAGUAAACCCACUCAGUCAUGUGCAGAAUGUACUAACUCCUUACAGAUAACAGUGGGAAUUGAACCUGGGUUACCGGCUCUGUAACAGCAUUUACACUAACUGCUAUGUCUCUGUGUUGCCCCAGGACAUCUUCUACUUAGUGUUUUCUUCAGCCCUGAAACACUACUCCAGUCCACUUUUCAGAGACACUGCCUCUUGCUGAUUGUUUGCAGCAUUUUCUAUUUUUAUUUUACUUCAGCCCUCUGUGGCUUCUUGAUCAGACUUGUCUGUAGGACCUCCUUAGCUGCCCGUCACUUUCACCAGAAUGUCAAGAUCAGGAUCAAAACUCACUCCCGUGCCUGUGAUGGUACCAUUGUUGUCGCUGCACCCCAAAUGAACUGGGUGUUCUGACAGUGGCUGGAUUCAGUGACAAUCUCCCAUUUAAGAAGUGCAGGAAUGACAACAAUUAAUAUAAAUUUAUUUUGGCAGAUGUGCAGGACUCCUGAAGUCACUAAUGUUUAGCAUCCACCAGUGUGGAAACAUAUUUUGCAUACAUUCCCUAGUCACUCAAAAAUUGCACAUUAACAGCUUGAGAAUAAAUAAAAGGCACGUAGAGCACUACAGUACAGGCCCUUCUGUCCAUGAUGUUGGCUGGCUUUUAUAACCACUCCAAGAUCAAUCUAACCCUUCCCUCCUACAUAACUCUCCAUUUUUUUGAUCAUCCAUGUGGCUAGUUUUGAGUUGCUUAAAUGUCCCUAAUUCAUUAAUUUGCAAUGUUUUAAAAAAAGUUUUUAAUAUGUUCAAGAUAAAACAAUGUUCAAGACAUCACUAUGUUCUCAGAAAUAAUUAAUAGUCCAUUGAUUACAAGCAACUUUAUUUUUUUUUCUUUUCAUCCUUCAGGAAAGAAAUAACAUUGUAAAUACAUAUGCUCUUUGUACACACUAACAAUUAAAAGAUCAGGCAGAAAAACUAAAGGAUAUUACACCUGUAAAUAGUUACGAUGAAUUUGAAGUUACAGUAAAGAAAAGCUCUUUGUUUUCAUUUCCUUUACAACUGUGGCUCAGUCUGAAAAGUAUUAUUAUUAUUAUAGUCACUCCAAUAGAUCAAUAUAUCAAAAUCACGGAUGCAGAACAGGAAGACAACUUUUCAUAAAAUACAAAUAUAUGUACUGAGUGAGUCAAAUAAUA